GAUGAACGCUGACAGAAUGCUUAACACAUGCAAGUCUACUUGAUUCUACUUCGGUAGCUGAUGGUGGCGGACGGGUGAGUAACGCGUAAAGAAUCUGCCCUUUAGUUUGGGAUAACCUUUGGAAACGAAGGCUAAUACCGGAUAUUAUGGAGACGUCGCAUGACGACUCCAUGAAAGCUAUAUGCGCUAGAGGAGGACUUUGCGUCCCAUUAGUUAGUUGGUGAGGUAAUGGCUCACCAAGACCGCGAUGGGUAGCCGGCCUGAGAGGGUGAUCGGCCACAAGGGAACUGAGACACGGUCCUUACUCCUACGGGAGGCAGCAGUGGGGAAUAUUGGACAAGGGGCCACAAGCCUGAUCCAGCAAUUCUGUGUGCACGAUGAAGGUCUUCGGAUUGUAAAGUGCUUUCAGUAGGGAAGAAAAAAAUGACGGUACCUACAGAAGAAGCGACGGCUAAAUAUGUGCCAGCAGCCGCCGUAA
This 478-nucleotide ribosomal RNA is filed under the name uncultured bacterium. Its description in RNAcentral is "partial 16S ribosomal RNA". It matches the Rfam family "Bacterial small subunit ribosomal RNA", at positions 28 to 523 of the family's 1533-position model. The record is from RNAcentral.